GGUUUCGUGGUGUACACACUAUAGUGGUUAUCACAUCUGUCUAACACACAGAAGGUCGGUGGUUUGAGCCGGCCCGAGAUCA
Molecule: transfer RNA, 82 nt
Organism: Caenorhabditis elegans
Lineage: Eukaryota; Metazoa; Nematoda; Chromadorea; Rhabditida; Rhabditidae
Source: Ensembl